Molecule: unclassified non-coding RNA, 347 nt
Filed under: fungal sp.
Lineage: Eukaryota; Fungi
Description: partial internal transcribed spacer region
Rfam family: Eukaryotic small subunit ribosomal RNA (bases 1-46)
Source: RNAcentral
AAGUCGUAACAAGGUUUCCGUAGGUGAACCUGCGGAAGGAUCAUUAAAAAAAAUUAAAAAUUUUAUAAAGGAUUAAGCUUUUAUCUUACUGAUAAUCGCUUUCCUUUAUAAAUAUCCACCUUAUUGUGAACUGUUUUAUUGUGUCCCUGGCAAAUUUUUGACUGAAAAGAAAAUAAAUUUGCCAGAAGUUUUUUUUAAAAGCAAAUAUUCUCGAAAGAGAAUGCGCCUUUGCCUUUAAAAAGAAGCACAUUAUAAAAACUUUAUGAAAAAAUUUGACUGAAAAAAUAAACGUAUAUUUUUAAUAUAUAAUAAAAAAACAACUUUUGACAACGGAUCUCUUGGCUCUC